AUACGUAGGGGGCGAGCGUUGUCCGGAAUGAUUGGGCGUAAAGGGCGCGUAGGCGGCCCGGUAAGUCUGGAGUGAAAGUCCUGUUUUUGAGAUGGGAAUUGCUUUGGAUACUGUCGGGCUUGAGUGCAGGAGAGGGAAGUGGAAUUCCCAGUGUAGCGGUGAAAUGCGUAGAGAUUGGGAGGAACACCAGUGGCGAAGGCGACUUACUGGACUGUAACUGACGCUGAGGCGCGAAAGUGUGGGGAGCAAACAGGAUUAGAUACCCUGGUAGUCCACACUGUAAACGAUGAAUGCUAGGUGUAGGGGGUAUCGACCCCUUCUGUGCCGCAGUCAACACAAUAAGCAUUCCGCCUGGGGAGUACGGCCGCAAGGUUGAAACUCAAAGGAAUUGACGGGG
RNAcentral lists this ribosomal RNA (397 nucleotides) under uncultured bacterium. RNAcentral's name for it is "partial 16S ribosomal RNA". It matches the Rfam family "Bacterial small subunit ribosomal RNA", at positions 523 to 918 of the family's 1533-position model. The record is from RNAcentral.